GUUUUGCUCUUCCCCUGGGGAGAGAAAAUGAAAUACUGUUACAUAUGCAGUAUGUAAAAACUUGUACAUCAAUCAGCUGGCUUUGUAGGCUACUUAAAUGGACCAGGAAAACUAGUGUUAAUCUCCAUCUCACUGUGCUUUCUUAUAGGAAAGGAGCCACGGGUGUUGAAGAAGGCUUGAUUUCAGGCACAGACAGCUCAGGCUUGCUCCUGGCAGGAUGAAGCAGAUCCCAGAUGUGCUUUGGGGGCAUGUGGCUCGAGGUAGCUCCUGCUCUCCCACCAACAAGAGGCCCUGCUGACCCGAUCCUUUGUGACUGCCUGGACACAGUACUAUUACCCGCGCUGGGACUUUGCUUGCUCUCAAUAUACCCUCAGGAGUAUCUGCAGAUCUACAUAAAUAUAUUUAUCCGGUGCUAGGCUGUGCCAUAUCGAGCAUGACUUUCAUCCUCUGGAUCUACAGACAUCAAGAGAGAUAGGAGGAUCCCCUUCCACGUCUGCAGCUUAUGGGGGUAGGUUUACUUUCUGUUUGUGUGUAUGGCAAAGGAGGAGGGCCUAUAGAGAGACCCUACAUUCCUGAUUACUGUUUAUUCAGAGCCAGUGAGGGGAUGACAUUUUUUCACCACAGUUCCAAUUUGCGUGCUGACGUUAAGUGAAAAAUAAAAUCAACUCUUCUUCCAGGAUAAAGGACCGAUAGCACAGAGGACAUUAGUGUUGCAUUUAGACUCAUAUAAAGUAGUUUUUAAUGAAAAAGCCUUACUGUAAAACAAACUUUUUCCUGGACACUAGUUUUCAGGGAGGAAGGAAGAAACAAGAAUGAGAAGACUAUUUCUGCAGAACAUCGAGAUAUUUCAUGAAUCACAUGCUCUUACUGUAAGUAAAAUUUUGAUAUCAGCCAUUAAAUUAGCAUGGCAGAAAGUUCUCAAGGUUAUUACAGUCUUUCUCUUCUUAAGUAAGAACUAUACUCUGCAGCAUUUAUAAUCAACCAAAUUAAAAGCUACCUAUGAUGUAGGAGGAAGAAGAGACAGCGAAAAGGAAGCAAUGAUGAAGAACUCAAGCAUGUGUUCCUUCAGACAUCUUUACAACUAAACAUCACUUAUUUAUCACUUCAUAAGCUCAAAUUGAGGGUACCUACUUUGCCACAGAAGCGGCCCUGGCAAGGAGUUUCAACUGACAGAACUCAGCUAGCAAAAGAAGAUAAACAGAGAAGUAAGACUGCCUGUUGCUGGUGUCAUUGGCAAACCAAGAUCUUGCUGCUCAACUGUUACGUGCUCAACAGGUAAAUCAAGCUUUUUUUUUUUUCCUAAUUUUCACAUUUUUCACUGUGAAAUAUAUCAUUCUGUAUUAAUGUUGUCCAUAAAAGAAGACAUUGCUUUUGUUAUGUUUCACGUUAGUGAUGAAAUUUCUACUCACUUCUGAGCUGAACUGGAAUUUAUUGGGAAAGUGACUUAGUUUGCAGAACAGAAAUUUAGUUAUGAUGCCCAAAAAAAAAGAGGAAAAAAUGUUAUUCUGGCUGUUGUCUUGAAAAUUUUUAAUCAUAGCAUCUCCAAGUACCUUGCAAACCAGAGUCAUAGUGUCACUUCCAAGUAACAGAGCAGGACAAAGGCAAAGCCAAAGGUACCCAGGUCUCCUCUGUAUUAGUCCGAUACUCUAUCUGGUAUUUCACAUUUCUAUCAAAGUAUCAUGAACAUAUGAAAUAUUCAAAAACAUACCAUGUUUUGUAUAUAUUUAUAUGUUCUCAAUUUUUAAGAAACAAUUUGUCUUUAGUGAAGACAUUCUCUAAGUUGUGGGGCAGGAAAUGUCGACACGAUUGAUUUAACAGCACAUUUAAUGAAAUAUAGUGCUCAGGUAAGAUUAGAAGCUGGAUUUAUUAGCAGUCCAGUGAGUAACAACGUUGUGAGUAUUGCCUUUUUAUAAGUUGUACUGAAAACGCAGGUAAGAUAGCAUUUUUAACACUGUUAACAGAGUUAACAGUUAAGAGAGGUGAGUGGAGUGAACCACGUUUACAGCAAGUGACGGUAAUCAGUGGCCUUAAAAGAUAGAAAUGUCAACUCAAAGGAUUAACUAGCACAAUUUAUGUAAAAUAGUAAAACUUCACAAAGUUAAAACUUGAUCUAAAUGGUAUACAGCUGCUAAAGAAAAAAGGAAAAAGAAAGAAAGAAAGAAAAAAAUCAAAAGCUUUACUGACCACCUUUUGAUUUUUUUUAAGGAUGCUUCAAUGGGUAUGAGCUCUUAGGAAAAAAAUACUGCAUUUUUGCCUGAAAAGUGCCGAUUUUAUUUUUAACACCUGUUAGUUAAGGCUUUAUUCAUAAACUUUAAGAAAGUUUUUUUCCAAAAGAGACAAAGUUCACAUUAGGAGCAAAAAGGCAUUCAGUUUUAUGUGUUGUUCUAUUGAUUUUUCUGUGUGAAAAUUGAAUUUGAACAGAGGGGGAAUUGCUUUUGUUAUUAUGUAUUUUUCUGAAACACAAUCAUAAAUUAUCUACCAGUUUAUAAUCUGACUUCUUACGAGUGCUUAU
This 2512-nucleotide long non-coding RNA is filed under the name Gallus gallus (chicken). Its description in RNAcentral is "long non-coding RNA NONGGAT008565". The record is from RNAcentral. Lineage: Eukaryota; Metazoa; Chordata; Aves; Galliformes; Phasianidae.